This 409-nucleotide ribosomal RNA is filed under the name uncultured Thermoplasma sp. RNAcentral describes it as "bacterial SSU rRNA". It matches the Rfam family "Archaeal small subunit ribosomal RNA", at positions 1 to 412 of the family's 1478-position model. Lineage: Archaea; Methanobacteriati; Thermoplasmatota; Thermoplasmata; Thermoplasmatales; Thermoplasmataceae. The record is from RNAcentral.
CCUUUCCGGUUGAUCCUGCCGGCGGUCACUGCUAUCAGGUUCCGACUAAGCCAUGCAAGUCAUGGGGCCGUAAGMCCGGGCGAACAGCUCAGUAACACGUGGAUAAUUUACCCUCAGGCGGGGCAUAACCUCGGGAAACUGAGGCUAAUUCCCCAUAGUCAUUACAAACUGGAAUGGUUGUAAUGAUGAAAGCUUUUGCACCUGAGGAUAAGUCUGCGGCCUAUCAGGUAGUAGGCGGUGUAAAGGACCACCUAGCCUAAGACGGGUACGGGCCCUGAAAGGGGAGCCCGGAGAUGGACUCUGAGACAACAGUCCAGGCCCUACGGGGSGCASAGGCCGSGAAAAACUGUGCAAUGCGCGAAAGAACAACGGGGAGCCUGAGUGCCUUGACUUUUUGUCAAGGCUUUUC